GCUCAGGGUUAGUCGGGACCUAAGCCGAGGCCGAAAGGCGUAGGCGAUGGACAACAGGUUGAUAUUCCUGUACCACCUCGUAUUCGUUUGAACGAUGGGGGGACGCAGAAAGGUAGGGUGAGCGCGCCGCUGGCUGUGCGCGUCGAAGCAUGCGAGGCUGGAACAUAGGCAAAUCCGUGUUCCAUAAGGCUGAGCUGUGACCGUGAAGGACCUUCGGGUCCGAAAUCCCUGAUCCUCCGCUGCCGAGAAAAGCCUCUAGUGAGAAUACAGGUGCCCGUACCGCAAACCGACACAGGUAGGCGAGAAGAGAAUUCUAAGACGCUCGGGAGAACUCUCGUUAAGGAACUCGGCAAAAUGACCCCGUAACUUCGGGAGAAGGGGUGCUCUAGUAGGGUUAACCGCCCGAGAGAGCCGCAGUGAAAGGAUCCAAGCGACUGUUUAGCAAAAACACAGGUCUCUGCGAAGCCGUAAGGCGAAGUAUAGGGGCUGACACCUGCCCGGUGCUGGAAGGUUAAGAGGAAGGGUCAUCCCUUACGGGAGAAGCUCUGAAUUGAAGCCCCAGUAAACGGCGGCCGUAACUAUAACGGUCCUAAGGUAGCGAAAUUCCUUGUCGGGUAAGUUC
RNAcentral lists this ribosomal RNA (622 nucleotides) under Shouchella clausii. RNAcentral's name for it is "bacterial LSU rRNA". It matches the Rfam family "Bacterial large subunit ribosomal RNA", at positions 1372 to 1983 of the family's 2925-position model. The record is from RNAcentral. Lineage: Bacteria; Bacillati; Bacillota; Bacilli; Caryophanales; Bacillaceae.